This is a long non-coding RNA of Xiphophorus couchianus (Monterrey platyfish), 1006 nucleotides long. RefSeq lists it as uncharacterized. NCBI's taxonomy places the organism in Eukaryota, Metazoa, Chordata, Actinopteri, Cyprinodontiformes, Poeciliidae. The record is from RefSeq and is a predicted model, not a curated record. The transcript has 2 exons.
GUCAUCGCCCGACGGUUGAGGAAGCCUUUCACGUUCGGUAGGCUGAAUUAAAAGACAUACCUGCGAGACGGCGUGAGCUUACGAAAAACAAACAGUGAGUAAUAAAACAACAAUCCGAGCCAUGUCACACCGCGGGGGAAAAAAGAAAGAAAGAAAAAAAAAACCCACAGGCUUUCAUUAGCUUUGUCAAAACAGAAACCAGGAAUCAAGGGGCAUUUUUAUAUGAACUGGUUAGACGUCUUCAGCCGAGCUGAGUCAUUUCUUAUGCCAUAGUGAGAAACCCAACAGCGUUCAAUAUUUGUACAUGUUUGUUCCUAAAAAUCAGACGUGCUGUUUCUAAAGCGAAAUAUCUCUGGAAUAUAUUCCUCCUGGGCUGGAAAACCUGCUCAGUGUUUCCAGAGGCCGAACAAGAGGCCGAUGCUGUGACAUCAUUUCUGUCGCAGUGCGAGGCGGUCUCAUGCUCCACCCUGUCGGUCAUCGUGCUUUACGAUGGGAGAAGAUGUGGCCUCUACUUUUCCUACGUCUUCGGGAAAGCGCAUUAUAGGACAUAUUUUACUGUUCAGUGAUGUCACUUGCAGGCAGAAGUGACACAGUUGGACCAUUACACAAUCUGCUCCUGAAUCUGGGUCAGCAGAGGCGUCGUAUUUUUACUCACUGUACACACAGUGGGUCCGUGUCCCUCGCCGGUGAUGAAUGGUCCUUGGAGCAGCAGGUUCCAUUGUACCUGCACAUGCAGAAAGGGGGGCCCGGGUCCCUCCUGUGAUCCGGUGUCCCGCUGUCUCAGGUUUCCUUCAGGGAACCCCUCGUAGCCUCCGGUUUGGCAAACAUUAUGCUGGACUUCCUGUCUCUGGCAGAAGUAUGGCUGGAGGCCCUCUCUGGGGACAGAAUGACUAUUGUCCUCGGCUUUUUUGCUUUCCCCUCCUUUCCUUCUGGCUUGCCCGUCCUCGUUCUCUGGACCAGGGACGCCUGCAGGUGAGCGUCAGAAAUGAUGCUCAAAGGCGUGAGG